UGGGCACUCUAGAGAGACUGCCAGGGAUAACCUGGAGGAAGGUGGGGAUGACGUCAAAUCAUCAUGCCCCUUAUGCUUAGGGCUACACACGUGCUACAAUGGGUAGUACAGAGGGUUGCCAAACCGUAAGGUGGAGCUAAUCCCUUAAAGCUACUCUCAGUUCGGAUUGUAGGCUGAAACUCGCCUACAUGAAGCUGGAGUUACUAGUAAUCGCAGAUCAGAAUGCUGCGGUGAAUGCGUUCCCGGGUCUUGUACACACCGCCCGUCACACCACGGGAGUUGGAGACGCCCGAAGCCGACUAUCUAACCUUUUGGAAGAAGUCGUCGAAGGUGGAAUCAAUAACUGGGGUGAAGUCGUAACAAGGUAGCCGUAUCGGAAGGUGCGGCUGGAUCACCUCCUUUCUAAGGA
This 409-nucleotide ribosomal RNA is filed under the name Clostridioides difficile. Its description in RNAcentral is "bacterial SSU rRNA". It matches the Rfam family "Bacterial small subunit ribosomal RNA", at positions 1132 to 1533 of the family's 1533-position model. The record is from RNAcentral. Lineage: Bacteria; Bacillati; Bacillota; Clostridia; Peptostreptococcales; Peptostreptococcaceae.